ACGGGUGAGAAACGCGUAGGAAUCUGCCUUAUAGAGGGGGACAACUAGAGGAAACUCUAGCUAAUACCGCAUAAUGUCUGCGGACCAAAGGCUGGGUAGCAAUACCUGGCGCUAUAAGAGGAGCCUGCGUCCGAUUAGCUAGUUGGUAGGGUAAAGGCCUACCAAGGCGAUGAUCGGUAGCUGGUCUGAGAGGAUGAUCAGCCACACUGGGACUGAGACACGGCCCAGACUCCUACGGGAGGCAGCAGUGGGGAAUAUUGGACAAUGGGGGCAACCCUGAUCCAGCAAUACCGCGUGUGUGAAGAAGGCCUUCGGGUUGUAAAACACUUUAGGUUGGGAAGAAGGUGUAUUGUUUAAGAGAUGAUACAUUUGACGGUACCGACAGAAUAAGCACCGGCUAACUCUGUGCCAGCAGCCGCGGUAAUACAGAGGGUGCAAGCGUUAAUCGGAGUUACUGGGCGUAAAGGGCGCGUAGGCGGUUAUUUAAGUGAGAUGUGAAAUCCCUGGGCUUAACCUAGGAACUGCAUCUUAUACUGAGUAACUGGAGUACUGUAGAGGGUAGUGGAAUUUCCGGUG
This 576-nucleotide ribosomal RNA is filed under the name uncultured Gammaproteobacteria bacterium. RNAcentral's name for it is "bacterial SSU rRNA". It matches the Rfam family "Bacterial small subunit ribosomal RNA", at positions 102 to 675 of the family's 1533-position model. Lineage: Bacteria; Pseudomonadati; Pseudomonadota; Gammaproteobacteria. The record is from RNAcentral.